Molecule: ribosomal RNA, 524 nt
Filed under: uncultured Desulfuromonadales bacterium
Lineage: Bacteria; Pseudomonadati; Thermodesulfobacteriota; Desulfuromonadia; Desulfuromonadales
Description: bacterial SSU rRNA
Rfam family: Bacterial small subunit ribosomal RNA
Source: RNAcentral
CGCCUGGGGAGUACGGCCGCAAGGUUAAAACUCAAAUGAAUUGACGGGGACCCGCACAAGUAGUGGAGCAUGUGGUUUAAUUCGAAGAUACGCGCAGAACCUUACCAACACUUGACAUGUUCGUGCGACCUAAGAGAUUAGGGUUUCGGUUCGCCGGACGAAACACAGGUGCUGCAUGGCUGUCGUCAGCUCGUGUCGUGAGAUGUUGGGUUAAGUCCCGCAACGAGCGCAACCCUUACUUUUAGUUGCCAUCAUUUAUUGGGCACUCUGAAAGAACUGCCAGUGAUAAGCUGGAGGAAGGUGGGGAUGACGUCAAGUCCUCAUGGCCCUUACGUGUUGGGCUACACACGUGCUACAAUGGCAUUUACAAUAGGAAGCAAGAUGGCGACAUCAAGCAAAUCCUAAAAAAAUGCCUCAGUUCGGAUGGUACUCUGCAACUCGAGUACAUGAAGCUGGAAUUACUAGUAAUCGCGGAUCAGGCGCCGCGGUGAAUGCGUUCCCGGGUCUUGAACACACCGCCCGUC